Molecule: non-coding RNA, 97 nt
Filed under: Rossellomorea marisflavi
Lineage: Bacteria; Bacillati; Bacillota; Bacilli; Caryophanales; Bacillaceae
Also listed under: 1 other name
Description: Bacillus marisflavi SAM-I sequence
Rfam family: SAM riboswitch aptamer (S box leader)
About the family: The SAM riboswitch is found upstream of a number of genes which code for proteins involved in methionine or cysteine biosynthesis in Gram-positive bacteria. The SAM riboswitch acts at the level of transcription termination control.
Source: Rfam by way of RNAcentral
CUCUUAUGAAGAGAGGCGGAGGGACUGGCCCCAUGAAGCCUCGGCAACCGGAUCCACGGUGCCAAAUCCAGCAGACAAUGCGUCUGAACGAUAAGAG